GAUGAACGCUGGCGGCGUGCCUAACACAUGCAAGUCGAACGGAGUGCCAAAGACAAACAUUUCGGUGGGCGACUUUGGUAACUGAGUGGCGGACGGGUGAGUAACGCGUGGACAACCUGCCGUGUACAGGGGGAUAACAGCCGGAAACGGCUGCUAAUACCGCAUAUGCGCACAGUGCCGCAUGGCACAGGGCGGAAAACGAUAGUGGUACACGAUGGGUCCGCGUCUGAUUAGAUAGUUGGCGGGGUAACGGCCCACCAAGUCGACGAUCAGUAGCCGGCCUGAGAGGGCGGACGGCCACACUGGGACUGAGACACGGCCCAG
Molecule: ribosomal RNA, 324 nt
Filed under: uncultured bacterium
Lineage: Bacteria
Description: bacterial SSU rRNA
Rfam family: Bacterial small subunit ribosomal RNA
Source: RNAcentral